GCCAACGUGAGAAUUAUUUUCUUUUUUUUUUUCUUUGCUUUUUCAGGGUUGCUGGUGAAUUCUCCCUUCUGCUGCCUCAGGCACUGGCCAUGGUGCUGAAUGCUGAUGAUGUGUUGAAAGCCGGUUGUGUGCAGCCCUCUGCGGCAGGUAUACUCACUCUCCACUUUCUUCUGAAGUCCCUCUGAAGGGAGAAAUCUCACCACUGCUGCUGCCUUCAUUGUUCUCCAUGGCAACAGGUGGUAAGAAGGAUCUGAAGAAGACAUUUUUAGGCCAGUGGUGAAGCUCACCUCCCAUUGUUCAUCAGAGAGGUGAUGGACUAACGGUAUGCUAUGAGGUAAACAUUUUCAGACAUAGUCAUUGUGUUGAUUAAUUUUACUUGACUACACUUGUU
Molecule: long non-coding RNA, 391 nt
Filed under: Phascolarctos cinereus (koala)
Lineage: Eukaryota; Metazoa; Chordata; Mammalia; Diprotodontia; Phascolarctidae
Description: lncRNA (ENSPCIG00000007510.2)
Source: RNAcentral